This 287-nucleotide ribosomal RNA is filed under the name uncultured Lachnospiraceae bacterium. Its description in RNAcentral is "partial 16S ribosomal RNA". The record is from RNAcentral. Lineage: Bacteria; Bacillati; Bacillota; Clostridia; Lachnospirales; Lachnospiraceae.
GGAGUUUGGGCCGUGUCUCAGUCCCAAUGUGGCCGGUCACCCUCUCAGGUCGGCUACUGAUCGUCGGUUUGGUGGGCCGUUACCCCGCCAACUGCCUAAUCAGACGCGGGACCAUCCUAUUCCACCGGAGUUUUUCACACUGUACCAUGCGGCACCGUGCGCUUAUGCGGUAUUAACAGUCGUUUCCAACUGGUAUCCCCCGGAAUAGGGCAGGUUUCCCACGCGUUACUCACCCGUCCGCCACUCGGUUAAAACUGCUUCCAUCCGAAACUUACCGCUGUAAUAAC